AAUUUAACCCUUCUUCCCUAGCGUCAUGCAGAUCGAGGGCGAUCACGAUGUCCGGUCCUCCAUGCCUGAGGCCGAUCUCUUACCGGCCAAGUCCGCCAGAAGGCAAGAUGCUGCCGAGGACGCUUCAUGCAGGGCGUACGUCGACCAACUCCAUCUGCCUCCGAUCUCUGAGCUCGGCGUUGCCUGGCCGUCAACAGCAGCACCCUCUGAAUCUGAACAGAUCCGUCGGUAUCCGCUCUUUUCUCAGAAGCCGCACAACCCCGGUGUGCUAAACCCAUUUCAGGGUUGAAAAAAGCCCCAAAUCAUCUUCUCGGCAAGACGAUAUCCACAUGCUUAAGCUACUUGAGAAUAGUUACACUCAGUGAAGAUUUAUCAAUGCAAAAGCUCAGGCAGCUGAAGAAGCUAAGAGAGUCUCUGCGAGAUGCUGCAUUUGGACAAGUGGGACAGUGUUGAAGAUGAUUAUUCAGUCAGGGAUAACUAAAGCUCUGCAGGAUGCUUCACUUCGACUCCCAAUUACUGAUGAUGUUAAGGUUGAUAUAAGAGAACUUGAAGAAGUUAUGAAUGUGACAUUACUAGAGCUGGUAUCAUUGUCACCGUGCACGGGAAGAUUUCAACCAAAGGCUGAAGAUAUUUACGUCGGAGCUUCAAAUCUAGCAAGUUGUACCAGUAACGAGAGGGUUUUGAUCGAAGAUUGAGGAAAUCUAUCAUUGACUUCAGGGAUAUAUUGACUAGGAAUCUAGAACAAAAGUUUCACAAAUUGUUUUUCAUAUAUAUAGGUCAAGGAAUUGAGCUUGAGAUCCCAACUUACUCAAACAAAGGAAAGCAGUCAGUCUGUGAUCAAUUGAUCAAUCGAUUAAUCCUCCUGUUCGAUAGCCCUUAUUCUUUUUUCAAAAUGAACAACACGAAGUGCAGAUACUUACAGUUUGAUGAAGGGUCGGCUUAGUUCAUAACCCUUCGAUAUAGAACAUUGAAUAUAGAUUAGCUC
Molecule: long non-coding RNA, 985 nt
Organism: Zingiber officinale
Lineage: Eukaryota; Viridiplantae; Streptophyta; Magnoliopsida; Zingiberales; Zingiberaceae
Exons: 4
Source: RefSeq, a predicted model, not a curated record